AGUGAACGCUGGCGGCGUGCUUAACACAUGCAAGUCGAACGAGAACGGGUUAUAGCUUGCUAUAAUUGUCAGCUAAGUGGCGCACGGGUGAGUAAUGUAUAGGUAAUAUGCCUCUUACUAAGGGAUAACAAAUGGAAACGUUUGCUAAUACCUUAUACUCCUUAUUAACAGAAGUUAAUAAGGGAAAGAUUUAUUGGUAAGAGAUUAGCCUGUAUUGUAUCAGUUAGUUGGUGGGGUAAUGGCUUACCAAGACUAUGACACAUAACUGGUUUGAGAGGAUGAUCAGUCACACUGGAACUGAGACACGGUCCAGACUCCGACGGGAGGCAGCAGUGGGGAAUAUUGCACAAUGGACGAAAGUCUGAUGCAGCAACGCCGCGUGGAGGAUGACACAUUUCGGUGCGUAACCUCCUUUUAUAUGAGAAGAUAAUGACGGUAUUAUAUGAAUAAGCACCGGCUAACUCCGUGCCAGCCGCCGCGGUAA
RNAcentral lists this ribosomal RNA (484 nucleotides) under uncultured bacterium. RNAcentral describes it as "partial 16S ribosomal RNA". It matches the Rfam family "Bacterial small subunit ribosomal RNA", at positions 29 to 523 of the family's 1533-position model. The record is from RNAcentral.